This is a long non-coding RNA of Cyprinus carpio carpio, 1084 nucleotides long. The record is from Ensembl. Lineage: Eukaryota; Metazoa; Chordata; Actinopteri; Cypriniformes; Cyprinidae.
GAAGAGGAUGAGCAAGACAGACUGAGGGAGAGGAAGAACGACAGUAUAGCAGGAUUAGAAUCAAGGGACUGCUUCGCCAGCAGGGUGGUGUGAGGUGAAAAUAAGGGAAGGAGAAUUUCAUUUGCAUACCCAGCAUGUCACCCGGACCUUUCCGGAGAGCUGCGCCUAUCCACCGCCGAGCUUGGCAAAUUCAGAGCCUCAUUUGUUUUGGACUCCUCCAAAUAGCUUGGUUCUUCUGGGAUGUGUGUGAUCUCUGGAGAAGACCUAGAUACAAGAAACAAAGAACUCCUCUGCCUGAAGGAUCCAAGUCAAACCAAUCUGUUACAAGUAACAUUUCAUUAUCUCUUCAGAUACAAACCACAAGGUCCCGCAAAUAGAGGCCUAUUUUUCCGGCUCUGCUAAUAGAAUUGAAUUUCACAGAGUGUAACUUAAAUUAGACAUUCCAUAGCAGCCCUGAAUGGCAGAAAUAAUCGGCAUGGGUGACUAAUUUGGCAGAGCGUGUGCUAAGUACACAAAUCCCCUUUUUUCCACCCCUCGCCCGAGGUUUGCGAAGAGCGGCGCACAACCCACAGACAAAGGCAACACGCGGCUCAUAAAAAUUAACAUAGUAAAUGACCUGGAGAGGAAGGCACAAUAAAUAAUCUGAUCUUAUCACCUCUGAGUAUGCGUGGCAUGGAAUGGAGGCGUCCAAUGAAAAUAUCCUCGUUAAUCUUGCAUACCCUUGGAUAAACUUCUACACAGGAAGCCAUUUCUCUGCAUAGUCUCUGGGGGUCGACACAAGGUUGUCUACUUCUACAACUGAAAUCCUUUUAUUUAUUUUUUGAGGAGGAGGAAGUUGAGCAAAAACUGACCGUGGUUAAUUCAUUUAGCCAUUUGGCUUGGUUGCAACACUUGAUUUUGUCAGUGCAUUUAACAUGUACAAACUUUUUAAAGACUUCUGGCCAGUCUACAGCCCUUUAAAACAUGUGUUUUGGACGUUUUAUGACUUGCUGAACUAUGUUUUACAAGAACAUAGUCAGUCUUCUACUUCAAAAUUCAACGUGUUACAUGACAUUUCUUCAUAGUUAGUUGUAACAUUUACUAG